RNAcentral lists this transfer RNA (56 nucleotides) under Smilium sinense. RNAcentral describes it as "tRNA-Ser". The record is from RNAcentral. Lineage: Eukaryota; Metazoa; Arthropoda; Thecostraca; Calanticomorpha; Calanticidae.
GAAAAUGAUUUAAAUUAGACUUCUAAUCUAAUCCUUUGCCUAGAGUAACAUUUUCU